RNAcentral lists this ribosomal RNA (400 nucleotides) under uncultured bacterium. RNAcentral's name for it is "bacterial SSU rRNA". It matches the Rfam family "Bacterial small subunit ribosomal RNA", at positions 28 to 424 of the family's 1533-position model. The record is from RNAcentral.
GAUGAACGCUAGCGGCAGGCCUAACACAUGCAAGUCGAGGGGUAUAAAAGAGCUUGCUUUUUUAGAGACCGGCAAACGGGUGCGGAACACGUACGCAAUCUGCCCUUAUCACGGGGAUAGCCCCAGAGAAAUUUGGAUUAAUACCCGAUAGUAUUAUAAUAAGGCAUCUUGUUGUAAUUAAAGCUAUGGCGGAUAAGGAUGAGCGUGCGCAAGAUUAGCUAGUUGGUGAGGUAACGGCUCACCAAGGCGACGAUCUUUAGCUGAUGUGAGAGCAUGAUCAGCCACACGGGCACUGAGACACGGGCCCGACUCCUACGGGAGGCAGCAGUGAGGAAUAUUGGUCAAUGGGACGGAAGUCUGAACCAGCCAUGCCGCGUGAAGGAUGAAGGCGUUCUGCGUU